GUGCUUGCUUUGGCAGAACUUAUACUAAAAUUGGAGCAACUCAGACAAUAUUAGCAUGGCCCAUGCACACACAUAACAUACAAAUUCAUGACAUAUUUUGCAUCUUU
Molecule: small nuclear RNA, 107 nt
Filed under: Procavia capensis (Cape rock hyrax)
Lineage: Eukaryota; Metazoa; Chordata; Mammalia; Hyracoidea; Procaviidae
Source: RNAcentral